This 477-nucleotide ribosomal RNA is filed under the name uncultured bacterium. RNAcentral's name for it is "partial 16S ribosomal RNA". It matches the Rfam family "Bacterial small subunit ribosomal RNA", at positions 28 to 507 of the family's 1533-position model. The record is from RNAcentral.
GAUGAACGCUGGCGGCGUGCCUAAUACAUGCAAGUCGAGCGAACGGACGAGAAGCUUGCUUCUCUGAUGUUAGCGGCGGACGGGUGAGUAACACGUGGAUAACCUACCUAUAAGACUGGGAUAACUUCGGGAAACCGGAGCUAAUACCGGAUAAUAUUUUGAACCGCAUGGUUCAAAAGUGAAAGACGGUCUUGCUGUCACUUAUAGAUGGAUCCGCGCUGCAUUAGCUAGUUGGUAAGGUAACGGCUUACCAAGGCAACGAUGCAUAGCCGACCUGAGAGGGUGAUCGGCCACACUGGACCUGAGACACGGUCCAGACUCCUACGGGAGGCAGCAGUAGGGAACCUUCCGCGAUGGGCGAAAGCCUGACGGAGCAACGCCGCGUGAGUGAUGAAGGUCUUCGGAUUGUAAACCGCUUUCGCCUGUGACGAAGCGUGAGUGACGGUAAUUGGUAAAGAAGCACCGGCUAACUACGUG